CUAGUUUGCCAAUUUAUGACAGCCGACAAAUAAUUUCAAAUUAAUAGCCAAGUAGAGAUAAGCAUCAAGGAGGUGGACCGUCCACCUCAAAUAGAAAAUAAACAAAAGCAGCAACAAGAUAUUUGGCAACUAAGGUCUUUCUCUAGCUAUUGCUUCCUUUUUUUUUUAAUUCUUAUUUGUUCAUCACAUCACUGUAGAUAUCUUUCUCUUCUUCAUUUCCUGGG
This 224-nucleotide long non-coding RNA is filed under the name Capsicum annuum. RNAcentral describes it as "long non-coding RNA (CANN_LNC011812)". Lineage: Eukaryota; Viridiplantae; Streptophyta; Magnoliopsida; Solanales; Solanaceae. The record is from RNAcentral.